GAGUUUGAUCCUGGCUCAGAGCGAACGCUGGCGGCAGGCCUAACACAUGCAAGUCGAGGGGCCGUAGCAAUACGGCACCGGCAGACGGGAGAGUAACACGUGGGAACGUGCCCUUCAGUUCGGAACAACCCAGGGAAACUUGGGCUAAUACCGGAUACGCCCUUACGGGGAAAGAUUUAUCGCUGAAGGAGCGGCCCGCGUCUGAUUAGCUUGUUGGUGAGGUAACGGCUCACCAAGGCGACGAUCAGUAGCUGGUCUGAGAGGAUGAUCAGCCUCACUGGGACUGAGACACGGCCCAGACUCCUACGGGAGGCAGCAGUGGGGAAUAUUGGACAAUGGGCGCAAGCCUGAACCAGCCAUGCCGCGUGCAGGAUGACGGUCCUAUGGAUUGUAAACUGCUUUUGUACGGGAAGAAACACUCCUACGUGUAGGAGCUUGACGGUACCGUAAGAAUAAGGAUCGGCUAACUCCGUGCCAGCCGCCGCAGUAAC
Molecule: ribosomal RNA, 491 nt
Filed under: uncultured Alphaproteobacteria bacterium
Lineage: Bacteria; Pseudomonadati; Pseudomonadota; Alphaproteobacteria
Description: bacterial SSU rRNA
Rfam family: Bacterial small subunit ribosomal RNA
Source: RNAcentral